Molecule: ribosomal RNA, 121 nt
Filed under: Petromyzon marinus (sea lamprey)
Lineage: Eukaryota; Metazoa; Chordata; Hyperoartia; Petromyzontiformes; Petromyzontidae
Source: RNAcentral
AUCUGCGACUAAAUGACCCUGAAUAUGCCCGAUCUCGUCAGAUCUCAGAAGCUAAGCAGGCUUUUACGCCUGGCUAAUACUUGUAUAGGCGACCGCCUGGGAAUGACAAGCGCUGUAGGUU